RNAcentral lists this ribosomal RNA (839 nucleotides) under Vibrio rotiferianus. Its description in RNAcentral is "bacterial SSU rRNA". It matches the Rfam family "Bacterial small subunit ribosomal RNA", at positions 372 to 1204 of the family's 1533-position model. Lineage: Bacteria; Pseudomonadati; Pseudomonadota; Gammaproteobacteria; Vibrionales; Vibrionaceae. The record is from RNAcentral.
UGGGCGCAGCCUGAUGCAGCCAUGCCGCGUGUGUGAAGAAGGCCUUCGGGUUGUAAAGCACUUUCAGUCGUGAGGAAGGUAGUGUAGUUAAUAGCUGCAUUAUUUGACGUUAGCGACAGAAGAAGCACCGGCUAACUCCGUGCCAGCAGCCGCGGUAAUACGGAGGGUGCGAGCGUUAAUCGGAAUUACUGGGCGUAAAGCGCAUGCAGGUGGUUUGUUAAGUCAGAUGUGAAAGCCCGGGGCUCAACCUCGGAAUUGCAUUUGAAACUGGCAGACUAGAGUACUGUAGAGGGGGGUAGAAUUUCAGGUGUAGCGGUGAAAUGCGUAGAGAUCUGAAGGAAUACCGGUGGCGAAGGCGGCCCCCUGGACAGAUACUGACACUCAGAUGCGAAAGCGUGGGGAGCAAACAGGAUUAGAUACCCUGGUAGUCCACGCCGUAAACGAUGUCUACUUGGAGGUUGUGGCCUUGAGCCGUGGCUUUCGGAGCUAACGCGUUAAGUAGACCGCCUGGGGAGUACGGUCGCAAGAUUAAAACUCAAAUGAAUUGACGGGGGCCCGCACAAGCGGUGGAGCAUGUGGUUUAAUUCGAUGCAACGCGAAGAACCUUACCUACUCUUGACAUCCAGAGAACUUUCCAGAGAUGGAUUGGUGCCUUCGGGAACUCUGAGACAGGUGCUGCAUGGCUGUCGUCAGCUCGUGUUGUGAAAUGUUGGGUUAAGUCCCGCAACGAGCGCAACCCUUAUCCUUGUUUGCCAGCGAGUAAUGUCGGGAACUCCAGGGAGACUGCCGGUGAUAAACCGGAGGAAGGUGGGGACGACGUCAAGUCAUCAUGGCCCUUA